CACGGAUUGCAGAUGUCAUACACAACAGAAGCAGAAAGAAGGGUAAAAAUGCAACGGCGCCUGGUGAUUAUAUAUACCCAACCUGCGAUCGCAGCAGUGUAUCAAGGAUUGGCCUCUUUAGUCACACAAGAAGUUGCGAAGGUAAAAGAUCGUCUCUCCAGAUGUAAAAUGCCGCAGAAUAUAUAUAUAUAUAUAUAUAUGUUUACAGGAUUUGAUUUGGUGAUCCCUCUUCAGAAACAUCAGAUCAAAGGAAUGUACAUGCUGCUGAUAUAGAAAAAGUUUCUGACUGCUUACAGAUCAGUGUUCUUAGUUCUGCUAUUGAUUUACUAUUGCAUAAUAAAUAAACAUGUAAUGAUCAAUCACAUUUUUAUACCAAGUUCAUCUAAUGAUUUACACAGCAUAUUAUCAGCAUUCACAGUUCAUCUAAUGAUCUACAUAUGAAGCAGCACCAUGCAGAGCUAACAUCACCUACUGAAGAGAGUUUCCAUCAUGCUUUAGCAACAAUCCAAAAACAAAAUGAAAAAGUGGUUUCUUUGUUUGGGACAAGUCCUGAAAGGCCUUCAGAAUCUGGGAGCACACUAUUGUUAACAAGCAGUGUGUCAUAUGACCAGCACAAUGACCAACAGCCUUUACUUUUCGAACCAAAGUCAGGACACUGUUCAAAGAUAUUUUAAGAUGUUGGCCUCACAUCUUGACACUUGUUAGAGUGUAAAGAUUUGACUUAACAAAUGUUAAAAUAAAAAGAGCACAUUGUGGAGAGUUGACCGUCAUUAAAAAAUGAUUGUCAGACUUCUGCUAGAUGUUGAUCUUUUCAUCACAACACCAAUAACUUCUUCUUGGAGUCAAGUAACAGUGUAUAUCACCUGAAAAAGCUAUUUAAAUUCCCUUAAAGAUCACAAAUUAAUGCUGAUGACAUAAAGCACAUUUAUCCACGAAAUCUUAUGAACACAUAAUAUUAUGUUGUACAACUAAAUAGUGGUGUCUGGAAAUUUAGGCAGUGUGUAUGUAGUGUAUAUGCUUAUUUAUUAUUUAUCUGUUUCUUAAACAUAGGCUUAUGUUCCCCGUGCUACCCAAACUAUAAUUCGGAGUGUGAAACAUAACAGAUUAACAGGUGCUAUAUUAUGUUUCGUUUAACAAAGAUUUUCUUACACUCUACAUAUUCCUCCCCCCCCCCCGAGAGGUGGGCCAGGGGUAGUGGUAAGUAUUAUAAUCACGGACUGAGAAGACCUAACGGCGAGCGAGAAAGGGGUUACGUCGUCACUAGAUCUGUGUCAGCUCAAUACAAUUUUUUCUCUUCGUGGUGUAGUCUUAAUCAUAAACAGAUAAAAAUUAAAGUUUUAAGAUACUGUUAAUCUUCUAUAAUAAAAUGCUUAUUUCUUAUAGUAAUACGUUUCCCGUACUAGAUCUUUAUAAUUUAAUGUCAUUGCUCUAUAUAGUAUAGAUCACUUACUCACAAUGCAUACUUUUGUUGAAAAGAAAAAUAAUUAAACAUAUCGUGUAGAUAUAGAUGCGUGUUUCAUUAUGUUCGUGUAUAUUUUUGUUUUAUUUUAUCAAUAUUUCGCUUUGCUUGGUGACUUAAUAGAUA
Molecule: RNA transcript, 1585 nt
Organism: Biomphalaria glabrata
Lineage: Eukaryota; Metazoa; Mollusca; Gastropoda; Planorbidae
Exons: 4
Source: RefSeq, a predicted model, not a curated record